UGACUCCUAUGUUGCUUUUACCAAAUGUUCGAAGCUGGUUACACUUCUGCACCCUAUUAGCGAUACGCUGGCACGAGUGCUGUACGAUAUGCACUUUUAUGAAGAUUCUGAGGUUGAAGAGGUUAAGCAAAAGGGGCUGAAGAUGUCGACGUUUACGCCAUUCUCAGUUUGCAGCAUUGCAGAUGUGCCACAACAACGAGAUGGUACGUCUUGCGGAAUCAUGACCGUCAAAUUCAUCGAGCAUCUCAGUGCUGGGAUUUCGGUAGAUAAAGUUGACCCUUUGAAGAUCAAAUAUUACCGACUGAAGCUUGCAAUUGAGGGUUUAAGGGGGGAGGCAUAUUUAUGAGGAACUCCUUUAUAUGAAGAUGCAGACGUAGAUGCUUUGCUGGGGGUACUUUAUAUGGUCAUCCUGCCUUUUUGCUAGAGCUAGUUGGUUUAGUUAUUAUUGUGAGGUGUAAUAUUGUACAGUCUAGAAGCAGUGG
This is a long non-coding RNA of Prunus persica (peach), 482 nucleotides long. RefSeq lists it as uncharacterized. The transcript has 3 exons. Lineage: Eukaryota; Viridiplantae; Streptophyta; Magnoliopsida; Rosales; Rosaceae. The record is from RefSeq and is a predicted model, not a curated record.